CCCUGCUCAAUGAUUUUCUAAUUAAAUAGCCGCAGUACCCUGACUGUGCAAAGGUAGCAUAAUCAUUUGGCUUAUAAUUGAAGUCUAGUAUGAAAGGGAUAAUGGGUAAAGACUGUCUUAAAAAUGUAUCUGGAACUUACUUAUUAGGUGAAAAUUCCUAAUUAUAGAAAAAAGACGAGAAGACCCUAGAAAUUUAAUUUAUUUUUUUAUAUAAAAAUUUUGUUGGGGCGACAGGGUAACAAAAAACUUACCUAAAUAUAUAAGAACUUUAUAAAUAGUAUAAUAAAAUUACUCUAGGGAUAACAGCAUAAUUCUAUAGAGUUUGUGACCUCGAUGUUGGACUAGGAAAGUCUUUACCUAAAAGGUAAAUGUACCCGCUCUGUUCGAGCCUAUUUUCUCCUACGUGAUCUGAGUUCAGACCGGA
This 424-nucleotide ribosomal RNA is filed under the name Albersia granulata. Its description in RNAcentral is "partial 16S ribosomal RNA". It matches the Rfam family "Bacterial large subunit ribosomal RNA", at positions 1857 to 2620 of the family's 2925-position model. The record is from RNAcentral. Lineage: Eukaryota; Metazoa; Mollusca; Gastropoda; Stylommatophora; Camaenidae.